AUUUUGAGUCCGUCACCAAAUGCCUAAGCAUUUGCAGCUGAGGAACUCUGUUUCUUGACGAUACGCGGAGCAUUGCGAAUUGUUAACAACUGAGAAGAAGAGGGGAAUGCGAUAAACUGGAAGAUGGAAAAAUAAAAACGAGUAUCUCAAAUCAGAAUUGAUUUAACAUUGUAAAGUUCCAAAGCGACAACGAGAUGCUGACUAAUUGAGAAAACGAUUGUACCCUGUCAUCAGAAAAGAGAAAGGGUGAUUGGUGAUACAGACAAGAACAUCCUGUUAAGAUUUAUUGCUCCCAACAUCUCUAUCACAAAUUGCUUAUACAGGCUGGAACAUCGAAAAUUUACUAGGAAAUUCUGAUGCAAACAAAUCUAAUAUACGUUUAUAAAUCUUUAUUUUCUUAUAUCACAACGUACAAAAAUAAAAAUUAUUUCUUAUAAUACA
Long non-coding RNA from Ceratina calcarata, 441 nucleotides. RefSeq lists it as uncharacterized. The transcript has 2 exons. Lineage: Eukaryota; Metazoa; Arthropoda; Insecta; Hymenoptera; Apidae. The record is from RefSeq and is a predicted model, not a curated record.